Molecule: ribosomal RNA, 274 nt
Filed under: uncultured bacterium
Lineage: Bacteria
Description: partial 16S ribosomal RNA
Rfam family: Bacterial small subunit ribosomal RNA
Source: RNAcentral
CCGCCGGCGACCGGCGCACGGGUGAGUAACACGUAUGCAACCUGGCCGUGACAGAUGGAUAACCGGGAGAAAUCCCGCCUAAUACAACAUAAUGCCGGGAGGGGGACAUCCCCUGCCGGUCAAAGGGGGCGACCCCGGUCAUGGAUGGGCAUGCGGCGCAUUAGGUAGUUGGUGGGGCAACGGCCCACCAAGCCGACGAUGCGUAGGGGUUCUGAGAGGAAGGUCCCCCACAUUGGAACUGAGACACGGUCCAAACUCCUACGGGAGGCAGCAG